UACGUAGGGUGCAAGCGUUGUCCGGAAUUAUUGGGCGUAAAGAGCUCGUAGGCGGUGUGUCGCGUCGGCCGUGAAAACCUGGGGGCUCAACUCUGGGCGUGCGGUCGAUACGGGCAUCACUUGAGUUCGGCAGGGGAGACUGGAAUUCCUGGUGUAGCGGUGAAAUGCGCAGAUAUCAGGAGGAACACCGGUGGCGAAGGCGGGUCUCUGGGCCGAUACUGACGCUGAGGAGCGAAAGCAUGGGUAGCGAACAGG
Molecule: ribosomal RNA, 255 nt
Filed under: uncultured bacterium
Lineage: Bacteria
Description: partial 16S ribosomal RNA
Rfam family: Bacterial small subunit ribosomal RNA
Source: RNAcentral